CGGGACGGGUGAGUAAUGUCUGGGAAACUGCCUGAUGAGGGGGAUAACUACUGGAAACGGUAGCUAAUACCGCAUAACGUCGCAAGACCAAAGAGGGGGACCUUCGGGCCUCUUGCCAUCGGAUGUGCCCAGAUGGGAUUAGCUAGUAGGUGGGGUAACGGCUCACCUAGGCGACGAUCCCUAGCUGGUCUGAGAGGAUGCCAGCCACACUGGAACUGAGACACGGUCCAG
This 231-nucleotide ribosomal RNA is filed under the name uncultured bacterium. RNAcentral's name for it is "partial 16S ribosomal RNA". It matches the Rfam family "Bacterial small subunit ribosomal RNA", at positions 100 to 334 of the family's 1533-position model. The record is from RNAcentral.